UAUGGGGUAGGAACCCGUGCGUUAAGUGCGCUGGAAACGGAAUGUGGGCCAGCGACGAAACAGUUAAUGUGCGGUACGGGUUUCGCAUUCACCAAU
Molecule: non-coding RNA, 96 nt
Organism: Fructobacillus fructosus KCTC 3544
Lineage: Bacteria; Bacillati; Bacillota; Bacilli; Lactobacillales; Lactobacillaceae
Source: Rfam